AACUUGUUCCCAACAUCAGAAUUUAGGAAUACUUUUAAGUAACCCUUUUCAAACUAGAAUUGCACUUGAUCAAGCCCAGUUUGGUCCAAGUCGGUUCAUAUCAGCCCACUCAGCCUGUACGAAGCUCCUGCAUGUGGAAAGCUGGUGUAAGAUCAGAAAACUAAAGUCCUGCAGGAGUAUUGUGCAAAGGAGUGCUGUGAUAUUUGCCCACUGUGAUGCCUAAUAUAAUGCAGUUCUUCCAGAAGCAAUGAUCUAAUCUGCAGUCAGGCAUGUAGUUGGGCAUGCACUCACUCUCCGUAUUACAGAGCCACUGGAAUAAGGAAUAAGUGAAAUAAUGCACCUACUGUCUAAUGGUUAGAUGUUAUGACUUCCUGUGUGGCAGCAUAGCUUAUCAGAGGAGGUACUGCUAUGUGUACAGUUAUGUACAUCAUCCCAAAAACUGAUGAAAUCAGUUUCUGUGAUCAGUUAAUGAGGCCUAAUGUGGAACUACCUGUAGGCUGAUUUUCUUUUGGAAGCAGGCCAGGAUGCUGGAGAAUAGUCAUGGGCAAUGCGUGUGGAUCCGGCCAGCUUUCUUGUACCAGGAGCCUCUUCUCUGUGCUUGCAGGGACCCAGCAAACGUGUACAGCCAGAGCAAAUUGGCAGAGUUCUGUGCAGGAGAAAGACGAGGAAGAGUGAUGACAAUGCAGGAUGAAGCAUGGAUGCUUGGAAACACAAAACAAUGCUGUUAAAAUGUCAGAUGGUAAAAACAACCAAGAGUUCCAGAUGGGGCAAUUGGAAGAGAAACAUGCUGAAGAUGAUAAUAAGAAAGUUCUGGAUUCUCUCAAUUGGGAAUCCCAUGUCCUCACCUGUGACUUCCAAAUGCAAUCACUAUUCAAGUCUUGUGCAAAGCAGCACGUCAUGAGGAAGUUCUUCGUUAUCAGGUGCUCUCUCAUUUGGCCAGGAGUGUUCGACCAAACCAUAUUAGGUCCAUGUCAUGAGGAGUUCAGAGGAAACAUCACAGAGCUCUUUGCUGUUGAGUGGGAGGUCAUGAAGAGUUUGGAGUCUGGCUGUGGUGCUGAUAUGUACGAUGGGUUGGUGGAAAGAAGACAAGCCUGUGAGAGAUGCAACAUGCUGGUGCAUUUGAGAUAUGUGAACAUAAAACAAGCACCCAGUUUAUGUUGGUCUUUGUGCUAG
This 1173-nucleotide long non-coding RNA is filed under the name Meleagris gallopavo (turkey). Its description in RNAcentral is "lncRNA (ENSMGAG00000020534.1)". Lineage: Eukaryota; Metazoa; Chordata; Aves; Galliformes; Phasianidae. The record is from RNAcentral.